GACCUAGUGGUGAAUGGAUCACAUCUGCUCUUCUUGCCUCAGAGAUUGUGGUAGUACUGCAGAAGGCCCCAGUUCGAUUCCGGGCUGGGUCA
Non-coding RNA from Mycena latifolia, 92 nucleotides. The record is from the annotation of a GenBank genome assembly. NCBI's taxonomy places the organism in Eukaryota, Fungi, Basidiomycota, Agaricomycetes, Agaricales, Mycenaceae.